Molecule: long non-coding RNA, 170 nt
Filed under: Sarcophilus harrisii (Tasmanian devil)
Lineage: Eukaryota; Metazoa; Chordata; Mammalia; Dasyuromorphia; Dasyuridae
Description: lncRNA (ENSSHAG00000020710.1)
Source: RNAcentral
AAAUUGAAGAAGGGGAGCAACUUCAAAGUCAGGGAACCGGAGCCUUCUUGGUCACCCUCUGCCUCAGCCUUUAAAUCCGACAGCCUUUGGUUGGAGUCCCAGUCCCAGGAGAAGAAAGUUCACCGCAAACUGUGAAGCUGAGCACCCCAUUUCUCCAAGCUAUAAACAGC